Molecule: unclassified non-coding RNA, 377 nt
Filed under: uncultured Bacilli bacterium
Lineage: Bacteria; Bacillati; Bacillota; Bacilli
Description: contains 16S-23S intergenic spacer region
Source: RNAcentral
UCCGGCUUUCGCCGGCUGUCUCUCUAAAGUGCCCAGCAUUACCUGAUGGCAACUAGAGAUAAGGGUUGCGCUCGUUGCGGGACUGAACCCAACAUCUCACGACACGAGCUGACGACAACCAUGCACCACCUGUCUCCUCUGUCCCGAAGGCCUACGCUAUCUCUAACGUAUUCAGAGGGAUGUCAAGACCUGGUAAGGUUCUUCGCGUUGCGUCGAAUUAAACCACAUGCUCCACCGCUUGUGCGGGCCCCCGUCAAUUCCUUUGAGUUUCAGUCUUGCGACCGUACUCCCCAGGCGGAGUGCUUAAUGGGUUUCCUUCGGCACUGUAGGUCGUUGACCUCCAACACCUAGCACUCAUCGUUUACGGCGUGGACUAC